UACAGAGGGGGCAAGCGUUGUUCGGAAUUACUGGGCGUAAAGGGCGCGUAGGCGGCCAUCUAAGUCAGACGUGAAAUCCCCCGGCUUAACCUGGGAACUGCGUCUGAUACUGGGAGGCUUGAGUAUGGGAGAGGGAUGUAGAAUUCCAGGUGUAGCGGUGAAAUGCGUAGAUAUCUGGAGGAAUACCUGUGGCGAAGGCGGCAUCCUGGACCAUAACUGACGCUGAUGCGCGAAAGCUAGGGGAGCAAACGGG
This 253-nucleotide ribosomal RNA is filed under the name uncultured bacterium. RNAcentral's name for it is "partial 16S ribosomal RNA". It matches the Rfam family "Bacterial small subunit ribosomal RNA", at positions 524 to 776 of the family's 1533-position model. The record is from RNAcentral.